UGCAGUCGACGAUGAAGCACCGCUUGCGGUGUGGAUUAGUGGCGAACGGGUGAGUAACACGUGAGUAACCUGCCCUUGACUCUGGGAUAAGCCUGGGAAACUGGGUCUAAUACCGGAUACGAUCAUUGCCCGCAUGGGUUGGUGGUGGAAAGCUUUAUGUGGUUUUGGAUGGACUCGCGGCCUAUCAGCUUGUUGGUGAGGUAAUGGCUCACCAAGGCGACGACGGGUAGCCGGCCUGAGAGGGUGACCGGCCACACUGGGACUGAGACACGGCCCAGACUCCUACGGGAGGCAGCAGUGGGGAAUAUUGCACAAUGGGCGAAAGCCUGAUGCAGCGACGCCGCGUGAGGGAUGACGGCCUUCGGGUUGUAAACCUCUUUCAGUAGGGAAGAAGCGAAAGUGACGGUACCUGCAGAAGAAGCGCCGGCUAACUACGUGCCAGCAGCCGCGGUAAUACGUAGGGCGCAAGCGUUAUCCGGAAUUAUUGGGCGUAAAGAGCUCGUAGGCGGUUUGUCGCGUCUGCUGUGAAAGGCCAGGGCUCAACUCUGGUUCUGCAGUGGGUACGGGCAGACUUGAGUGAUGUAGGGGAGACUGGAAUUC
RNAcentral lists this ribosomal RNA (600 nucleotides) under Arthrobacter sp. RNAcentral's name for it is "bacterial SSU rRNA". It matches the Rfam family "Bacterial small subunit ribosomal RNA", at positions 56 to 669 of the family's 1533-position model. Lineage: Bacteria; Bacillati; Actinomycetota; Actinomycetes; Micrococcales; Micrococcaceae. The record is from RNAcentral.